This 1555-nucleotide long non-coding RNA is filed under the name Venturia canescens. RNAcentral describes it as "uncharacterized LOC122406040, transcript variant X3". The record is from RNAcentral. Lineage: Eukaryota; Metazoa; Arthropoda; Insecta; Hymenoptera; Ichneumonidae.
AGUACAGAGGUUAGGAGAAAAAAGGGAGAAAACUGUUCGAGAGCGACUCGUAAAAUCUCGGUAACAUUGACAGCUGUGCGCGCGUCAGCUGUGUCAUAUUAUAAGUGCGCAAAUCAUUGUAAAAGUACAUCUGAGAAUUCGAUCUAAAGUAUUGUAACAAUGGGAGGAAUUUUAAUCACAUCUUACUCCGGCGUGCUCCAGCACUAAGAGGCUUUACUCGAAUCCCAUGGCACUACAUCAUUUUGGACGAAGGUCACAAAAUUCGGAAUUCUGAGGGUAACUAGAACAAAAAGAUUUUCAACGCCUCACCGCUUACUUCUAACUGGAAGUCUGAUGCAAAAUUCCUUAAAAGAAUUGUGGUCCUUGCUCGACUUCAUAUUACCAGGAAAAAUGGGGGCUCCGAGCAAUCAAGGGAUAAAACUCAAGUAACGAUUCUUACUGAAGUCUUGUGACAGCUGAAAAAUGCAACGGGAUUCAUUGAACGGAAGUCUUGGUCAAUCUGAUGAUUUAGGUGUACCGCUUGUUUGCAGUAUAACUUCUCAUUUAAAGAAUUCUAAUCAUAUACUCAGGAUAUCGUUGAUGCUAUCACGAAACAGCUCGUUUGUGCGCUCAUCUCGACACUGUGGGUACCCCUUCCGAUGAUGGAAAGAAGUCAAAAAAGAUUUGAGAGGCAUCAAGGGUGACUUGAAAAGGCCGUUUGAAAAAGCAUGGAAAGGUUACGAUACCAAGUACGCAGAAAUGGAAAAGGAGUAGAAGCAACACCAAGUACCCGGAGGCUGACCUCAUCCGCUCGGAAGUUACACCCGCUGAAAUUGCUGACUAAAUGGAAAAGGAGAGACGAUUGUUCCAAUUACAGAUUUGCGAGAUUCGUUCGCAAAUGUCAAACGAUGGCCACACGAGAUCGACUAAGACUGCAAUAUAGUCAAUAGGGUUCUCGCGGAUAACAAAAAUGAUGCUCCUAACCAGAAAGAACUGAUCAAAGAUAUUGAACGUUUUCCCACCUAAAUGGAUAUUUAACUCGGUUAAAUAUCCAUGAGACCUUGGUUAGGCAUCGUCAAUGUUGAAGAGGCGAUCCAGGGCAAUUCGACGACGACAUCACUAGUAGCGGCAGAGUUAUCGGCAACUACAAUGGCAAUUCGCAUGGGAACCUCGAGUGAUUGGACCGGUGGCUCAACGAGAUCCAAUCCAAAACAUAAUGCAAAAACCGUGAUGACGGGAAAAAGCGGAACUCGAGGACGAUGGAAUUGUUAAAACGGAGGUCUGAGCGAGAGAAGACAAUACACGGAGACAACUUCAAAGACGAGCCAACGAAUCCCAUUAUCGAGUGGAAGGACAGAGAGGAAAAACACGAUACAAAUAUGCGAAGCACUGUGAUACAUUACGAAAAAUGUAUUUACCAACGAGAUAGUCACCGAAAAUAAUACCAACUGCGCAAAUUGAUGCGCAAAUGAUAGACGCGUCAGUGGAGGAAACUUGAGAUCGACAACCUUCUUUACUUUCCAUUCUAUGAAUAUGGAUUUAUCUGUAUUUGUUAAUAAACUUGUAAUUCAUCGUA